This 59-nucleotide ribosomal RNA is filed under the name uncultured bacterium. RNAcentral describes it as "partial 16S ribosomal RNA". The record is from RNAcentral.
CAGACUUGACAUAUAACUGCACGUCCUAUGAAAGUAGGAUUUCUUCGAGAGUGUUAUAC